AACGAACGCUGGCGGCAGGCUUAACACAUGCAAGUCGAACGGAUCCUUCGGGAUUAGUGGCGCACGGGUGAGUAACGCGUGGGAAUGUACCCCUUGGUAAGGAAUACUAUCUGGAAACGGAUACUAAUACCUUAUAAUGACUUUGGUCCAAAGAUUUAUCGCCAAGGGAUCAGCCCGCGUCUGAUUAGGUAGUUGGUGAGGUAACGGCUCACCAAGCCGACGAUCAGUAGCUGGUCUGAGAGGAUGAUCAGCCACACUGGGACUGAGACACGGCCCAGACUCCUACGGGAGGCAGCAGUGAGGAAUAUUGGACAAUGGGGGAAACCCUGAUCCAGCCAUGCCGCGUGAGUGAAGAAGGCCUUAGGGUUGUAAAGCUCUUUCAAUGGUGAAGAUAAUGACGGUAGCCAUAGAAGAAGCCCCGGCUAAAUUCGUGCCAGCCGCCGCCGUAA
Molecule: ribosomal RNA, 449 nt
Filed under: uncultured bacterium
Lineage: Bacteria
Description: partial 16S ribosomal RNA
Rfam family: Bacterial small subunit ribosomal RNA
Source: RNAcentral